UGUAAGCGUAUACCAAAGUUGUUGCAGUUAAAACGCUCGUAGUCGGAAUUUGGCAGUUCCGGAUGUGUGCACGUCGUGUGCGCACUUCGCGGGGAUUGCUUUUGUGGUCUUGCGUAGGAUGAGGCACUUUUAUUAGUGAACGUCCUCACGCAACCACUUUUUACUGUGAGAAAAUCAGAGUGCUCAAAGCAGGCAUUUGCCGUGAAUGUAUUAGCAUGGGAUAAUAGAAUAGGACUUGGUUCUAUUUUGUUGGUUUGUUGGGACUGAGUAAUGAUUAAGAGGGACAGUUGGGGGCAUUUGUAUUUCGGUGCUAGAGGUGAAAUUCUUAGAUUACCGAAAGACAAACUGCUGCGAAAGCGUCUGCCAAGGAUGUUUCCAUUGA
RNAcentral lists this ribosomal RNA (382 nucleotides) under uncultured eukaryote. RNAcentral describes it as "partial 18S ribosomal RNA". It matches the Rfam family "Eukaryotic small subunit ribosomal RNA", at positions 592 to 976 of the family's 1831-position model. The record is from RNAcentral.